Molecule: ribosomal RNA, 2927 nt
Filed under: Klebsiella oxytoca
Lineage: Bacteria; Pseudomonadati; Pseudomonadota; Gammaproteobacteria; Enterobacterales; Enterobacteriaceae
Description: bacterial LSU rRNA
Rfam family: Bacterial large subunit ribosomal RNA
Source: RNAcentral
GGGUUGUGAGGUUAAGCGACUAAGCGUACACGGUGGAUGCCCUGGCAGUCAGAGGCGAUGAAGGACGUGCUAAUCUGCGAAAAGCGUCGGUAAGGUGAUAUGAACCGUUAUAGCCGGCGAUGUCCGAAUGGGGAAACCCAGUGCAAUUCGUUGCACUAUCGUUAACUGAAUACAUAGGUUAACGAGGCGAACCGGGGGAACUGAAACAUCUAAGUACCCCGAGGAAAAGAAAUCAACCGAGAUUCCCCCAGUAGCGGCGAGCGAACGGGGAGCAGCCCGGAGUCUGAAUCAGCUUGUGUGUUAGUGGAAGCGUCUGGAAAGUCGCAGGGUACAGGGUGAUACUCCCGUACACUAAAACACACAGGCUGUGAACUCGAAGAGUAGGGCGGGACACGUGGUAUCCUGUCUGAAUAUGGGGGGACCAUCCUCCAAGGCUAAAUACUCCUGACUGACCGAUAGUGAACCAGUACCGUGAGGGAAAGGCGAAAAGAACCCCGGCGAGGGGAGUGAAAAAGAACCUGAAACUGUGUACGUACAAGCAGUAGGAGCCCACUAGUUGGGUGACUGCGUACCUUUUGUAUAAUGGGUCAGCGACUUAUAUUCUGUAGCAAGGUUAACCGUAUAGGGGAGCCGCAGGGAAACCGAGUCUUAACUGGGCGUUAAGUUGCAGGGUAUAGACCCGAAACCCGGUGAUCUAGCCAUGGGCAGGUUGAAGGUUGGGUAACACUAACUGGAGGACCGAACCGACUAAUGUUGAAAAAUUAGCGGAUGACUUGUGGCUGGGGGUGAAAGGCCAAUCAAACCGGGAGAUAGCUGGUUCUCCCCGAAAGCUAUUUAGGUAGCGCCUCGUGAAUUCAUCUUCGGGGGUAGAGCACUGUUUCGGCUAGGGGGUCAUCCCGACUUACCAACCCGAUGCAAACUACGAAUACCGAAGAAUGUUAUCACGGGAGACACACGGCGGGUGCUAACGUCCGUCGUGAAGAGGGAAACAACCCAGACCGCCAGCUAAGGUCCCAAAGUCAUGGUUAAGUGGGAAACGAUGUGGGAAGGCCCAGACAGCCAGGAUGUUGGCUUAGAAGCAGCCAUCAUUUAAAGAAAGCGUAAUAGCUCACUGGUCGAGUCGGCCUGCGCGGAAGAUGUAACGGGGCUAAACCAUGCACCGAAGCUGCGGCAGCGACACUAUGUGUUGUUGGGUAGGGGAGCGUUCUGUAAGCCGUUGAAGGUGGCCUGUGAGGGUUGCUGGAGGUAUCAGAAGUGCGAAUGCUGACAUAAGUAACGAUAAUGCGGGUGAAAAACCCGCACGCCGGAAGACCAAGGGUUCCUGUCCAACGUUAAUCGGGGCAGGGUGAGUCGACCCCUAAGGCGAGGCCGAAAGGCGUAGUCGAUGGGAAACAGGUUAAUAUUCCUGUACUUGGUGUUACUGCGAAGGGGGGACGGAGAAGGCUAUGUUGGCCGGGCGACGGUUGUCCCGGUUUAAGCAUGUAGGCGGAUGUUCCAGGUAAAUCCGGAACGUCACUAACGCUGAGGUGUGAUGACGAGGCACUACGGUGCUGAAGUGACAAAUGCCCUGCUUCCAGGAAAAGCCUCUAAGCAUCAGGUAACAUCAAAUCGUACCCCAAACCGACACAGGUGGUCAGGUAGAGAAUACCAAGGCGCUUGAGAGAACUCGGGUGAAGGAACUAGGCAAAAUGGUGCCGUAACUUCGGGAGAAGGCACGCUGAUGGUAAGUGAAGUGACUUGCUCAUGGAGCUGAAAUCAGUCGAAGAUACCAGCUGGCUGCAACUGUUUAUUAAAAACACAGCACUGUGCAAACACGAAAGUGGACGUAUACGGUGUGACGCCUGCCCGGUGCCGGAAGGUUAAUUGAUGGGGUUAUCCUCACGGAGAAGCUCUUGAUCGAAGCCCCGGUAAACGGCGGCCGUAACUAUAACGGUCCUAAGGUAGCGAAAUUCCUUGUCGGGUAAGUUCCGACCUGCACGAAUGGCGUAAUGAUGGCCAGGCUGUCUCCACCCGAGACUCAGUGAAAUUGAACUCGCUGUGAAGAUGCAGUGUACCCGCGGCAAGACGGAAAGACCCCGUGAACCUUUACUAUAGCUUGACACUGAACACUGGUCCUUGAUGUGUAGGAUAGGUGGGAGGCUUUGAAGUGUGGACGCCAGUCUGCAUGGAGCCGUCCUUGAAAUACCACCCUUUAAUGGCUGGUGUUCUAACGUGGGCCCGUGAUCCGGGUUGCGGACAGUGUCUGGUGGGUAGUUUGACUGGGGCGGUCUCCUCCUAAAGAGUAACGGAGGAGCACGAAGGUCAGCUAAUCCUGGUCGGACAUCAGGAGGUUAGUGCAAUGGCAUAAGCUGGCUUGACUGCGAGCGUGACGGCGCGAGCAGGUGCGAAAGCAGGUCAUAGUGAUCCGGUGGUUCUGAAUGGAAGGGCCAUCGCUCAACGGAUAAAAGGUACUCCGGGGAUAACAGGCUGAUACCGCCCAAGAGUUCAUAUCGACGGCGGUGUUUGGCACCUCGAUGUCGGCUCAUCACAUCCUGGGGCUGAAGUAGGUCCCAAGGGUAUGGCUGUUCGCCAUUUAAAGUGGUACGCGAGCUGGGUUUAGAACGUCGUGAGACAGUUCGGUCCCUAUCUGCCGUGGGCGCUGGAGAAUUGAGGGGGGCUGCUCCUAGUACGAGAGGACCGGAGUGGACGCAUCACUGGUGUUCGGGUUGUCAUGCCAAUGGCAUUGCCCGGUAGCUAAAUGCGGAAGAGAUAAGUGCUGAAAGCAUCUAAGCACGAAACUUGCCCCGAGAUGAGUUCUCCCUGACCCUUUAAGGGUCCUGAAGGAACGUUGAAGACGACGACGUUGAUAGGCCGGGUGUGUAAGCGCAGCGAUGCGUUGAGCUAACCGGUACUAAUGAACCGUGAGGCUUAACCUUACAACGCCGAAG